RNAcentral lists this ribosomal RNA (403 nucleotides) under uncultured Oscillibacter sp. RNAcentral's name for it is "bacterial SSU rRNA". It matches the Rfam family "Bacterial small subunit ribosomal RNA", at positions 356 to 774 of the family's 1533-position model. Lineage: Bacteria; Bacillati; Bacillota; Clostridia; Eubacteriales; Oscillospiraceae. The record is from RNAcentral.
GGGGAAUAUUGCACAAUGGGGGAAACCCUGAUGCAGCGACGCCGCGUGAGUGAAGAAGUAUUUCGGUAUGUAAAGCUCUAUCAGCAGGGAAGAGUAGAAGACGGUACCCCUUGAAUAAGCCACGGCUAACUACGUGCCAGCAGCCGCGGUAAUACGUAGGUGGCAAGCGUUGUCCGGAUUUACUGGGUGUAAAGGGCGUGUAGCCGGGAAGGUAAGUCAGAUGUGAAAUCUGGGGGCUCAACCUCCAAACUGCAUUUGAAACUACUUUUCUUGAGUAUCGGAGAGGUAAUCGGAAUUCCUUGUGUAGCGGUGAAAUGCGUAGAUAUAAGGAAGAACACCAGUGGCGAAGGCGGAUUACUGGACGACAACUGACGGUGAGGCGCGAAAGCGUGGGGAGCAAACA